UGGCAGCUACUUGGGGA
Molecule: unclassified non-coding RNA, 17 nt
Filed under: Mus musculus (house mouse)
Lineage: Eukaryota; Metazoa; Chordata; Mammalia; Rodentia; Muridae
Description: oocyte_clustered_small_RNA12776
Source: RNAcentral